UACGUAGGGUGCGAGCGUUGUCCGGAAUUAUUGGGCGUAAAGAGCUCGUAGGCGGUUUGUCGCGUCUGCCGUGAAAGUCCGGGGCUCAACUCCGGAUCUGCGGUGGGUACGGGCAGACUAGAGUGAUGUAGGGGGAGACUGGAAUUCCUGGUGUAGCGGUGAAAUGCGCAGAUAUCAGGAGGAACACCGAUGGCGAAGGCAGGUCUCUGGGCAUUAACUGACGCUGAGGAGCGAAAGCAUGGGGAGCGAACAGG
This 254-nucleotide ribosomal RNA is filed under the name uncultured bacterium. Its description in RNAcentral is "partial 16S ribosomal RNA". It matches the Rfam family "Bacterial small subunit ribosomal RNA", at positions 524 to 776 of the family's 1533-position model. The record is from RNAcentral.